UGGGGAAUAUUGCACAAUAGGCGCAAGCCUGAUGCAGCGACGCCGCGUGAGGGAUGGAGGCCUUCGGGUUGUAAACCUCUUUCGCCAGUGAAGCAGGCCAUCUUCUUUGUGGGGUGGUUGACGGUAGCUGGAUAAGAAGCGCCGGCUAACUACGUGCCAGCAGCCGCGGUAAUACGUAGGGCGCGAGCGUUGUCCGGAAUUAUUGGGCGUAAAGAGCUCGUAGGCGGCUGGUCGCGUCUGUCGUGAAAUCCCCUGGCUUAACUGGGGGCUUGCGGUGGGUACGGGCCGGCUUGAGUGCGGUAGGGGAGACUGGAAUUCCUGGUGUAGCGGUGGAAUGCGCAGAUAUCAGGAGGAACACCGGUGGCGAAGGCGGGUCUCUGGGCCGUUACUGACGCUGAGGAGCGAAAGCGUGGGGAGCGAACAGG
Molecule: ribosomal RNA, 425 nt
Filed under: bacterium
Lineage: Bacteria
Description: partial 16S ribosomal RNA
Rfam family: Bacterial small subunit ribosomal RNA
Source: RNAcentral